GACGAACGCUGGCGGCGUGCUUAACACAUGCAAGUCGAGCGGUAAGGCCCUUUCGGGGGUACACGAGCGGCGAACGGGUGAGUAACACGUGGGUGACCUGCCCUCAGCUCUGGGAUAAGCCUGGGAAACUGGGUCUAAUACUGGAUAUGACUCCACGGUGCACGUCGUGGGGUGGAAAGCCUUGUGCGGCUGAGGAUGGGCCCGCGGCCUAUCAGCUUGUUGGUGGGGUGAUGGCCUACCAAGGCGACGACGGGUAGCCGGCCUGAGAGGGCGACCGGCCACACUGGGACUGAGACACGGCCCAGACUCCUACGGGAGGCAGCAGUGGGGAAUCUUGCGCAAUGGGCGAAAGCCUGACGCAGCGACGCCGCGUGAGGGAUGACGGCCUGGU
Molecule: ribosomal RNA, 391 nt
Filed under: uncultured bacterium
Lineage: Bacteria
Description: bacterial SSU rRNA
Rfam family: Bacterial small subunit ribosomal RNA
Source: RNAcentral